This 253-nucleotide ribosomal RNA is filed under the name uncultured bacterium. RNAcentral's name for it is "partial 16S ribosomal RNA". It matches the Rfam family "Bacterial small subunit ribosomal RNA", at positions 524 to 776 of the family's 1533-position model. The record is from RNAcentral.
UACAGAGGGGGCAAGCGUUGUUCGGAAUUACUGGGCGUAAAGGGCGCGUAGGCGGCCUGUUAAGUCGAACGUGAAAUCCCCGGGCUCAACCCGGGAACUGCGUCCGAUACUGGCAGGCUUGAAUCCGGGAGAGGGAUGCGGAAUUCCAGGUGUAGCGGUGAAAUGCGUAGAUAUCUGGAGGAACACCGGUGGCGAAGGCGGCAUCCUGGACCGGCAUUGACGCUGAGGCGCGAAAGCGCGGGGAGCGAUCCGG